GCCGAUCAUAUAAUAAAUCAAUAUCGAUUUUUUUAUAGAGCGUUAAAAUUUUGCGAAGCCAGGGGGCGGGACUACUUGAUUGACAGUCCGGUCCGGAAUGAUUGACAGGUCCUAUGGAGGAGGAAGCAGAGACUCUGCUCUCCUCGUUUGGAUUAAUUCUGAUAUAAUAACUGUUGGUUUAUUUAUCGGUGCAACAGCAGAACAUUUUCCACAGACAGUUUUCCUGCCCGUUGGCUUGUUUUAACCAGUUUUCUGCCUUCGGCUGAUUCUACCAGCAGACACUGAAAGGACUGAUAGUUCGAGUGAAAGUAGCAAUUCCUCCUUAAGGUCAGCGAUUGCAGCAUCUGAGGGCCUCUUCAAAAGAAGACGUAGCUGAUGAAGGCGUUCUGGAGCAGGACCAGAAAGACCACGACCAAGCAGCCUUGAGAUAUUAGGCAGCGUCUCCUUCAGACCAAAGAACUACAGACUCUUCACAACCUGCUCAAACUCUUGGUACAGGACCUCACCACACGGGUCAAGAAGGUUUCCAUCUCAAUUCUACUCUGAAGCUCACCUUCUCCUGCUCAAACUGCUGACAAAUGUUUCUGCUGCUCUAAAGUCUGGUCUCCAGAACUUCCUAAAAACUCUCUAAGUCUGCUUUGUAGAACUGUUGCAGAAAACCUCACUAAACCACAUGGAGGGGCCUCAAGAUAGUCAUCCAAAUGAAACCGUACAAAAACCAAACUAACACAACUCAAAUGCUAAAGUCUCCUGCAGCCUACCAGAGAACCUCUGAGAACAGAGAAUCAGGACAGGAACUCUUACCUUCUGGACAACCAGUGUUGGUUCUCAAACAAGAAUACAGAAUGUGUCUGACCAAAAACCUCUAAAGACUCACUACAGCCAAGAUAAGGACACAACUCAGCUGCACCAAAUCCACUAAUCACUGCACAUAUUUGCACCAUGUGCUAACUGUGGCUAAAGAACCAGAUUUACCAAGACAACUAUCCAGUAUAAAGUCCUAAAACACUCCAAGAAACACAUUAAAGACGAUUUUACUGCUGGAAGCUGCAAGUCAACGUCUAAAGAACAUACUAAAGCAACAGAGCCAAACCCGGUUCAGUGGUGGAGAGAAACAGAGGAAAUGUUUGCUGCAGCUAAAUAAAGCAGGAAGACACUGAGCUGCUCAGGUGUUCCUGAUAACACUGAGCUGCUCAGGUGUUCCUGAUAACACCAAGCAGCCACCUGGACAGCCAAUAGGAACACAGCUUCCUGGAAGUCCAGAGGGCUGGCUUAGUGAAGGAAAUUUAGUUUAAAGUUGAAGCAGAAAGUUAACAAAGAAAGUUGAAAACCACCUUCUGAUACCUGAAAUCUCUGAGUUUUCACACAAAGAACGCCUGAACAUGUCAGACUGGUUUCAUAGUAGAACCAUCAUUGUAAAAACAUCGUAGUAUGGUGUGUUGCUCAAAAAACAUUAGGACCCGGCUGUCUAGGGUCGCCGAGGAGCAACACAAAAACAGGACAGACGCUGGUUUCCAGGGGGUUAGGCGGCUAUUUAUUUGAAAGAGGAAGUUUACAACAACACAACAUGUGAGCAGAAAAAUCACAAAGUCUGUCUUUAGUU
Molecule: long non-coding RNA, 1603 nt
Organism: Amphiprion ocellaris (clown anemonefish)
Lineage: Eukaryota; Metazoa; Chordata; Actinopteri; Pomacentridae
Exons: 3
Source: RefSeq, a predicted model, not a curated record